This 958-nucleotide long non-coding RNA is filed under the name Gallus gallus (chicken). RNAcentral's name for it is "long non-coding RNA NONGGAT008824". The stretch from base 414 to 735 matches the Rfam family "Nuclear RNase P". The record is from RNAcentral. Lineage: Eukaryota; Metazoa; Chordata; Aves; Galliformes; Phasianidae.
CGCGGUGUGGAAGCAGCAUCUCAAAGCACCUCAUCAGGGGGAGAAAGUGCACACCCUCACUACUAAUGAGCAAUGAGCUCCGUCAGCCAGUUACCCAUUCUGGGCUUCCACGCGCUGCUGCAAGCCAAGGGUGAGUUCCCAGCGGCACCAGACCCAUUCACACCCCCAACCCCCCAAGCUGAGGCUGCCCGUGGCCCCAUCCAUGGCCUUGGGGACCUCGACGGAUGGGGCACGCGCAACUCCUGCACCCUCCCAACCGCUCCGUAUACCGCCGCUCCCUCACUCCCAGCACGAGGCGGGGCGGGGCCGCCGUCAUUAGCAUACACCGCAGAGCAUGCCGGGUAACUCGCCCUACUCUAAAAGGGUUCCGGAACCAGAGCUGUAUAUAGGCACUUCCACAAAGUGCGUAAACGUCCGGAGGAAGCUCACCGUCGAGGCCACGCACUGGGUGUCCGUCACCCGCGCUUCUCCGCCUCGGGGAAGGUCUGAGGGAAGGGCCAUGAGGCGGCUCCAGCAGAGCCCCGCCCGCGUGGGUGGGUGAGCCACCAGCAAGGGGGGGCGCCGCGCGGGCCGGCCUGGGCAGGAGAAGCCCGAACGGCUGCGGAGCUGAUCUGAGCCGGGGCGGAUGCUCGUGGCCCCGCGGUGCUUUGAGACAGACUCACGGCCGGCGUGCUGAGUCCAAUGGGUGAGGUGGGGCAGCGCCCCACAACCUAAUUCAGACUACUCUCCGCCGGACAACUUUUUCAUGCUUGGGGUCGGAAGGGACCGUGAGAGCCGACCCACUGCCUGCACCGAGCGGUGCGACACCCACAGCUCCAGCAGCGCUCACAAACCUCGAUGGCUGCAGGGAUGGCGCACCACCACCACCUCUCUGGGCAACCUGUGCCACUGCCUCACCGCCCUUGUUGGAAAACACACCUCCCCUCUAUCCAGCCUAAAUCCCCCUCUCUCCCUGUGA